RNAcentral lists this ribosomal RNA (373 nucleotides) under uncultured Alphaproteobacteria bacterium. RNAcentral describes it as "bacterial SSU rRNA". It matches the Rfam family "Bacterial small subunit ribosomal RNA", at positions 521 to 896 of the family's 1533-position model. Lineage: Bacteria; Pseudomonadati; Pseudomonadota; Alphaproteobacteria. The record is from RNAcentral.
UAAUACGGAGGGAACUAGCGUUGUUCGGAAUUACUGGGCGUAAAGGGCGUGUAGGCUGUUUAAUUAGUCAGAGGUGAAAUCCCUAAGCUCAACUUAGGAACUGCCUUUGAUACUAUUAUACUAGAGAACGAGAGAAGUUAGCGGAACUCCAAGUGUAGGGGUGAAAUUCGUAGAUAUUUGGAAGAACACCAGUGGCGAAAGCGGCUAACUGGCUCGUUUCUGACGCUGAGACGCGAAAGCGUGGGUAGCAAACAGGAUUAGAUACCCUGGUAGUCCACGCCGUAAACGAUGAGUGCUAGCCGUUUGUGAUUAAUCACAAGUGGUGCAGUUAACACAUUAAGCACUCCGCCUGGGGAGUACGAUCGCAAGAUUA